CGCGCAGGCGGUCUUCCAAGUCAGUGGUGAAAGCCCGGAGCUCAACUCCGGAACUGCCAUUGAAACUGUGAGACUUGAGGAUGAGAGAGGUGAGUGGAAUUCCCAGUGUAGAGGUGAAAUUCGUAGAUAUUGGGAAGAACACCGGUGGCGAAGGCGGCUCACUGGCUCAUUUCUGACGCUCAGGCGCGACAGCGUGGGGAUCAAACAGGAUUAGAUACCCUGGUAGUCCACGCCGUAAACGAUGAAUGCUAGCCGUUGGGCAGCUUGCUGUUCAGUGGCGCAGCUAACGCAUUAAGCAUUCCGCCUGGGGAGUACGGCCGCAAGGUUGAA
RNAcentral lists this ribosomal RNA (330 nucleotides) under uncultured bacterium. RNAcentral's name for it is "bacterial SSU rRNA". It matches the Rfam family "Bacterial small subunit ribosomal RNA", at positions 568 to 898 of the family's 1533-position model. The record is from RNAcentral.